RNAcentral lists this ribosomal RNA (253 nucleotides) under uncultured bacterium. Its description in RNAcentral is "partial 16S ribosomal RNA". It matches the Rfam family "Bacterial small subunit ribosomal RNA", at positions 524 to 776 of the family's 1533-position model. The record is from RNAcentral.
UACGUAGGCAGCAAGCGUUGUUCGGAAUUACUGGGCGUAAAGCGUGCGCAGGCGGCGCGUUAAGACAGGUGUGAAAGCCCCGAGCUUAACUUGGGAAUUGCGCUUGUGACUGGCGUGCUGGAGUGUGGCAGAGGGAGGUGGAAUUCCACGUGUAGCAGUGAAAUGCGUAGAGAUGUGGAGGAACACCGAUGGCGAAGGCAGCCUCCUGGGCCAGCACUGACGCUCAUGCACGAAAGCGUGGGGAGCAAACAGG